This 440-nucleotide ribosomal RNA is filed under the name uncultured bacterium. RNAcentral describes it as "partial 16S ribosomal RNA". It matches the Rfam family "Bacterial small subunit ribosomal RNA", at positions 338 to 795 of the family's 1533-position model. The record is from RNAcentral.
CCUACGGGUGGCAGCAGUGGGGGAUAUUGCACAAUGGGGGGAACCCUGAUGCAGCGACGCCGCGUGGGUGAAGGAGCGUUUCGGCGCGUAAAACCCUAUCGGCAGGGAAGAAGAUGACGGUACCUGGCCAAGAAGCCCCGGCUAACUACGUGCCAGCAGCCGCGGGAAUACGUAGGGGGCAAGGGUUAUCCGGAUUUACUGGGGGUAAAGGGGGCGCAGACGGGAAAGCAAGCCAGGAGUGGAAGCCCGGGGCCCAACCCCGGGACUGCUGUUGGAACUGCAUGGCGGGAGUACAGGAGGGGCAGGCGGAAUGCCUAGUGUAGCGGUGAAAUGCGUAGAUAUUAGGAGGAACCCCGGUGGCGAAGGCGGCCUGCUGGACUGUGACUGACGUUGAGGCCCGAAGGCGUGGGGAGCAAACAGGAUUAGAUACCCGAGUAGUC